GAUGGAAUUGCUAUUCCAUUCCCGUCCUAUUCCGCGCGCUAGAGUAAUUCAUACGUUUGGUUUACCGUUUAGGUGAUUCCGCAGCUUUACUAUUACACCCAUAUUCCCUCAGGUCCUGUAAUAGGGAUUCAGCGGUGGGGGCUCUAAAUCGCUAUUCAACACCACACGCCGAAUACAUUUUCACAUUUUGGGACCAAAAUAGCCUACUUUCUUCUCCCCAAAAUUCAACUCCAGAUUUCUUCCAACCUUUUUCCCCUAAAUCAAGCAUCCAUCCGCCUUUCAUCUUCAUCCUCUCAAAGGGUACGUUUUCUUUUUUUACUUCAAGCUCCUAAAACAGGUUUCUAUUUCUCCUUCCUCAUAACUGCUCCAGAUUUCUUGUCUGCGUUUCAAAGUUGAGACCUUUGUUUAGUCUUCUUUUGGCCUGUAGCAUGUCACACCUUAAAUCUAAGAAGGGAACACUUAGAUUCUACUCCCAUGAGUUCUUAAACUUAAGCCUGUAGCAUGUUUUCGUCAGUUUUGUUAUAUAUAUAUUUUCUAUUUCCAAUUCAUGACUAGUCAAAGCUUGUUACUUGUUUGACAGGAAAGUAUUGCGGCAAAAUUUCAGAUCCCUUGGAAGAAGGGUGCAAGCUUGGCCCCAUUGUUAGUAGAGGGCAGGUAUUAUUUCAAUUUCGUUGUUUGGUUUUAGG
RNAcentral lists this long non-coding RNA (686 nucleotides) under Gossypium barbadense (sea-island cotton). RNAcentral describes it as "long non-coding RNA (GBAR_LNC001639)". The record is from RNAcentral. Lineage: Eukaryota; Viridiplantae; Streptophyta; Magnoliopsida; Malvales; Malvaceae.